GGCGAAAAGAACCCCGGCGAGGGGAGUGAAAAAGAACCUGAAACCGUGUACGUACAAGCAGUGGGAGCCUCUUAAUGGGGUGACUGCGUACCUUUUGUAUAAUGGGUCAGCGACUUAUAUUCUGUAGCAAGGUUAACCGAAUAGGGGAGCCGAAGGGAAACCGAGUCUUAACUGGGCGUUAAGUUGCAGGGUAUAGACCCGAAACCCGGUGAUCUAGCCAUGGGCAGGUUGAAGGUUGGGUAACACUAACUGGAGGACCGAACCGACUAAUGUUGAAAAAUUAGCGGAUGACUUGUGGCUGGGGGUGAAAGGCCAAUCAAACCGGGAGAUAGCUGGUUCUCCCCGAAAGCUAUUUAGGUAGCGCCUCGUGAAUUCAUCUCCGGGGGUAGAGCACUGUUUCGGCAAGGGGGUCAUCCCGACUUACCAACCCGAUGCAAACUGCGAAUACCGGAGAAUGUUAUCACGGGAGACACACGGCGGGUGCUAACGUCCGUCGUGAAGAGGGAAACAACCCAGACCGCCAGCUAAGGUCCCAAAGUCAUGGUUAAGUGGGAAACGAUGUGGGAAGGCCCAGACAGCCAGGAUGUUGGCUUAGAAGCAGCCAUCAUUUAAAGAAAGCGUAAUAGCUCACUGGUCGAGUCGGCCUGCGCGGAAGAUGUAACGGGGCUAAACCAUGCACCGAAGCUGCGGCAGCGACACUAUGUGUUGUUGGGUAGGGGAGCGUUCUGUAAGCCUGUGAAGGUGGCCUGUGAGGGUUGCUGGAGGUAUCAGAAGUGCGAAUGCUGACAUAAGUAACGAUAAAGCGGGUGAAAAGCCCGCUCGCCGGAAGACCAAGGGUUCCUGUCCAACGUUAAUCGGGGCAGGGUGAGUCGACCCCUAAGGCGAGGCCGAAAGGCGUAGUCGAUGGGAAACAGGUUAAUAUUCCUGUACUUGGUGUUACUGCGAAGGGGGGACGGAGAAGGCUAUGUUGGCCGGGCGACGGUUGUCCCGGUUUAAGCGUGUAGGCUGGUUUUCCAGGCAAAUCCGGAAAAUCAAGGCUGAGGCGUGAUGACGAGGCACUACGGUGCUGAAGCGACAAAUGCCCUGCUUCCAGGAAAAGCCUCUAAGCAUCAGGUAACAUCAAAUCGUACCCCAAACCGACACAGGUGGUCAGGUAGAGAAUACCAAGGCGCUUGAGAGAACUCGGGUGAAGGAACUAGGCAAAAUGGUGCCGUAACUUCGGGAGAAGGCACGCUGAUAUGUAGGUGAAGCGACUUGCUCGUGGAGCUGAAAUCAGUCGAAGAUACCAGCUGGCUGCAACUGUUUAUUAAAAACACAGCACUGUGCAAACACGAAAGUGGACGUAUACGGUGUGACGCCUGCCCGGUGCCGGAAGGUUAAUUGAUGGGGUUAGCGGUAACGCGAAGCUCUUGAUCGAAGCCCCGGUAAACGGCGGCCGUAACUAUAACGGUCCUAAGGUAGCGAAAUUCCUUGUCGGGUAAGUUCCGACCUGCACGAAUGGCGUAAUGAUGGCCAGGCUGUCUCCACCCGAGACUCAGUGAAAUUGAACUCGCUGUGAAGAUGCAGUGUACCCGCGGCAAGACGGAAAGACCCCGUGAACCUUUACUAUAGCUUGACACUGAACAUUGAGCCUUGAUGUGUAGGAUAGGUGGGAGGCUUUGAAGUGUGGACGCCAGUCUGCAUGGAGCCGACCUUGAAAUACCACCCUUUAAUGUUUGAUGUUCUAACGUGGGCCCCUUACCGGGGUUGCGGACAGUGUCUGGUGGGUAGUUUGACUGGGGCGGUCUCCUCCUAAAGAGUAACGGAGGAGCACGAAGGUUGGCUAAUCCUGGUCGGACAUCAGGAGGUUAGUGCAAUGGCAUAAGCCAGCUUGACUGCGAGCGUGACGGCGCGAGCAGGUGCGAAAGCAGGUCAUAGUGAUCCGGUGGUUCUGAAUGGAAGGGCCAUCGCUCAACGGAUAAAAGGUACUCCGGGGAUAACAGGCUGAUACCGCCCAAGAGUUCAUAUCGACGGCGGUGUUUGGCACCUCGAUGUCGGCUCAUCACAUCCUGGGGCUGAAGUAGGUCCCAAGGGUAUGGCUGUUCGCCAUUUAAAGUGGUACGCGAGCUGGGUUUAGAACGUCGUGAGACAGUUCGGUCCCUAUCUGCCGUGGGCGCUGGAGAACUGAGGGGGGCUGCUCCUAGUACGAGAGGACCGGAGUGGACGCAUCACUGGUGUUCGGGUUGUCAUGCCAAUGGCACUGCCCGGUAGCUAAAUGCGGAAGAGAUAAGUGCUGAAAGCAUCUAAGCACGAAACUUGCCCCGAGAUGAGUUCUCCCUGACUCCUUGAGAGUCCUGAAGGAACGUUGAAGACGACGACGUUGAUAGGCCGGGUGUGUAAGCGCAGCGAUGCGUUGAGCUAACCGGUACUAAUGAACCGUGAGGCUUAACCUUACAACGCCGAAG
RNAcentral lists this ribosomal RNA (2444 nucleotides) under Escherichia coli. RNAcentral describes it as "partial 23S ribosomal RNA". It matches the Rfam family "Bacterial large subunit ribosomal RNA", at positions 513 to 2925 of the family's 2925-position model. Lineage: Bacteria; Pseudomonadati; Pseudomonadota; Gammaproteobacteria; Enterobacterales; Enterobacteriaceae. The record is from RNAcentral.